CCUACGGGAGGCUGCAGUGAGGAAUAUUGGUCAAUGGACGAGAGUCUGAACCAGCCACGUCGCGUGAAGGAUGACUGCCCUAUGGGUUGUAAACUUCUUUUAUAUGGGAAUAAAAUGUUCCUCGUGCUGGACAUUGUAUGUACCCUAUGUAUAAGGAACGGCCAACUCCGUGCCAGCAGCCGCGGUAAUACGGAGGAUCCGAGCGUUAUCCGGAAUUAUUGGGUUUAAGGGGAGCGUAGGUGGAUUGUUAAGUCAGUUGGGAAAGGUUGUGGCUCAACCGCAGAAUUGCAGUUGAAACUGGCAAACUUGAGUACAGUAGAGGUGAGCGGAAUUCGUGGUGUAGCGGUGAAAUGCUUAGAUAUCACGAAGAACUCCAGUGGCGAAGGCAGCUCACUGGACUGCAACUGACACUGAGGCUCGAAAGUGUGGGUAUCAAACAGGAUUAGAUACCCCAGUAGUC
RNAcentral lists this ribosomal RNA (460 nucleotides) under uncultured bacterium. RNAcentral describes it as "partial 16S ribosomal RNA". It matches the Rfam family "Bacterial small subunit ribosomal RNA", at positions 338 to 795 of the family's 1533-position model. The record is from RNAcentral.